Oryza sativa Japonica Group (Japanese rice) is the source of this 723-nucleotide non-coding RNA. The record is from RefSeq and is a predicted model, not a curated record. Lineage: Eukaryota; Viridiplantae; Streptophyta; Magnoliopsida; Poales; Poaceae.
UGCUUCCCCGGUUUCGUUUUCUUUCCUUGGAAGCUUCGCUGCCGUGCUCUCCUUUCUUCCCAAUUGUUUUCACUUUGUUGCCGUCCAUGGAGACCGCGAGGAACACUUUCGUUGUUUGCGCUGUCGCCGUCGUGGGUGUCUAGGAGACGAAGGUAUUCUCCGUUUUGACCCCGGUGACCUAAUCCUUCCGUUCUUGCUGUUCCAAGGAGUUCUUUGUGCCGUCAAGCCGCCCUCUGGUUCUUCCAUCCGUCGUCUUCAGGCCUCCCCUUUUGAAGAUGGCCGAGGUCCUCAUUCCAGAUCUUGAACAGGGUGAUGGCAACCCAACGAUAAUCGUCCGUGUCUCAAGGUUGUGGGAAUAUCGUGAUCAAAAUGACGAAACAAUUGUGCACAACAUUAGCUUGGUCCUGCUUGAUAAAAAGGGAGCUAGCAUUGCAGCUUAUAUUUAUCCUCCACUAGAUGUGGUGUUUGGGCCUAUUAUCACUGAGGGCAAGGUGUACCGCCUUACCUUCUAUCGAGUGAGACCAUGCAGCAGGAACUACAGGCCAGUUAACAACAGGAUGUCGAUUAAUUUCACAAAGUGGACCACCUUGGAAGAACAUCUUGAUGUGCCAGCUGAUUUCCCUUGCUACGCUUACUCACCUACUCCAUACAAUGAACUGCGCUCGCAUGUCGACCGCAAAGACUCAUUUACAGGUACUAUAAUUCCAACACCAUUGUUUCUUA